Molecule: non-coding RNA, 100 nt
Organism: Drosophila melanogaster (fruit fly)
Lineage: Eukaryota; Metazoa; Arthropoda; Insecta; Diptera; Drosophilidae
Gene: mir-124
Source: Ensembl
UCAUUUGGUACGUUUUUCUCCUGGUAUCCACUGUAGGCCUAUAUGUAUUUCCACCAUAAGGCACGCGGUGAAUGCCAAGAGCGAACGCAGUUCUACAAAU